UUACUCCAGGAAACGAAGGGUUACUGGAAUUUUGAUGGGAAGAGAUGAAAAACACCGAGCUCCCAGGGUUAAUGGCGGUCUCGUGAGACUAGGGGUCACAGAGAUUAGGCUUUACCAGAACAACUGAGAACUCAAAAGAUAAGAUUAAUCUACAUCGCCUGAUCUCUGCGACCACUUCCAUUAAUCCUGGGAGUUUGGUGUUUUUCAUCUCUUCCCAAUAAAAGUCCAACAUUGGUAUCGGAGUGA
This 246-nucleotide microRNA precursor is filed under the name Amborella trichopoda. Its description in RNAcentral is "miR8588 stem-loop (atr-MIR8588)". The record is from miRBase by way of RNAcentral. Lineage: Eukaryota; Viridiplantae; Streptophyta; Magnoliopsida; Amborellales; Amborellaceae.